Molecule: long non-coding RNA, 645 nt
Organism: Felis catus (domestic cat)
Lineage: Eukaryota; Metazoa; Chordata; Mammalia; Carnivora; Felidae
Exons: 3
Source: RefSeq, a predicted model, not a curated record
UACCUGUAGGCUGAAGGGGCGGACCUACGCCGGCCGACCACGCCUCCUCCCCUUGAGUAACAGUACUCCAACCCUGCCCCAGCCAAUCGGCCAAGGCCACGACCCUUCCCCAGCCAAUCGGCUGAGGCCACAGCCAUGACCUCACCAACUGCCCCUAGACCCCAAUAAAACUUUUGUGCUUUUGAAGCUCGCUCUCUCUCCCUGGUAUCUCACCGCUGCGUCGGUACAGUGACUGAAAGCAUCUCAUGGAUUUUGUUGUUAAAAGCAAUCACACUUUCUGCAAGACUUGCUUCCUUCGCCACAUCUCUUUAAUUCCAAUUUUCUACAUCAGGUCUGAUACCAUCUGGAAUAGAGGAUGAAUUGAAUGCUGCGAACCUUUAAAUUAGCUUGAUAUUUCUAAAAACUAAGAGGAAAAGUUUUUACAUUCUUCAAGGUUGCAAGAAAGAAUAAUAAAAUGUUUCUCUUACACGGCAGACCGAGAAUUGUCAACUAAGAUGCAAUUGCAAUAAUUAUUACUGAUGAGGAUGCAAAACACAGAAAUAGCAUUACUUGCUGACGGAUCACAGGGCUAGUGUGGGGUACUAGAAGCAACAAAAAUUACAUUUCCCCUUGAAUAGAAAAUAAACUUUCUAUGGAAAUCUCUGA